CCUACGGGAGGCUGCAGUGAGGAAUAUUGGUCAAUGGGCGCGAGCCUGAACCAGCCAAGUAGCGUGAAGGAUGACUGCCCUACGGGUUGUAAACUUCUUUAUAAAGGAAUAAAGUGAGGCACGUGUGCCUUUUUGUAUGUACUUUAUGAAUAAGGAUCGGCUAACUCCGUGCCAGCAGCCGCGGUAAUACGGAGGAUCCGAGCGUUAUCCGGAUUUAUUGGGUUUAAAGGGAGCGUCGAUGGGUUGUUAAGUCAGUUGUGAAGGUUUGCGGCUCAACCGUAAAAUUGCAAUUGAUACGGGCAGACUUGAGUACAGUUGAGGGAGGGCGAAGUCGUGGUGUAGCGGUGAAAUGCUUAGAUAUCACGAAGAACUCCGAUUGCGAAGGCAGCCUACUAAACUGCCACUGACAUUGAUGCUCGAAAGUGUGGGUAUCAAACAGGAUUAGAUACCCUUGUAGUC
RNAcentral lists this ribosomal RNA (459 nucleotides) under uncultured bacterium. RNAcentral's name for it is "partial 16S ribosomal RNA". It matches the Rfam family "Bacterial small subunit ribosomal RNA", at positions 338 to 795 of the family's 1533-position model. The record is from RNAcentral.